ACACGUUCUCAAACGUGUCGGGUUGUCUUUCUUCUGUUCCGUGUCUCAGGUUUUAUUGUCGUUUUACGAUGUAUAUGGGCACUGCCGAAAAACGGUGAUGGACAAGUUGGAUAAACGGGCGUAUUCCAUACGUUCCUGACGUGUGCCAUACAUCAGGAUUUAAGCCACUCCCACUGUUCCUAAAGUUAAGUUGUAUAACCAGUGUGACCGAUCAUUAUACAUACGCCAUACACGUCUGAAGACAUGUUGUCAUACACGUUUGGAGCACGUGUAUAUAACCAGCGUGACUCCAGCCUAAGGUUAUAUAAAAAGCCGUACAUACAUAGUCAAGGUUUCUGCGGAAGCUUCGUCUUCCUCGGGACUCAUAUAUACGUACAUGCGUAUAUAAAUAGGUAACUGUAUAAAUAAGUAAUCAGAUUGUUGUUUCUUCUUACACGCAUCAACCUUGAAGAAUUGAGGAUUGGGUCUGCUCUUAUUUUGGAAACAGUAUGAGCGUAUACUUAUAUUCCUGUGACUCGGUAUCUAAAAAUGUCACCGCAAAGUGUUUUCAUCAAGCACUAAAGAAACCUGCUUCGAGUAAAAACCCCGAUAAUUUAACUGGUGCGCAUUUAAAAAAUUUGCAAUACAUUUCGCAUGAUCAAGAAACCACGUACAUUCGUCACCAGACUUAAUUAGCACCGGUAAAACUGGGAUAUUAAAGCGACACUGAACGAAACAAUACUGAAGCGUUAUAUUGAACAUCACUAUCCGAAUCACGAUUUUUCCCGCAUACAAGACACCACCGCGCAAUUUGCCACCGCUACAGGCAAAAGCUUUCCUGUAUGUCCGAUUGGGAGCGCUGAAGUCAUCAAAGGUUUAUCGUCCGCUCGGGGUCCAGAAACACGAGGAUCGCUGCUUUUACCACGUCGAUUCCACUGCCAUUUCUCACACACACAGUGUAAUUAUAUGCGGAGGGAAAUGAGGCGAAGACGUCACAAGCUUUAGGCACCCACGUGACCAAUUCUGUUGCGCUGCUUCCCUGCACAGUCAAAAGGCAAAAACGAACGUAUACGUCGAGCCAUUACGUACGAGAGAGGAGAAGAAAAAAAAACAAAAACGAUCGUGUAGAUGAAAACGAGCGUAGAUUAUGGAUACUCAACCGCGCGACUUUUGUAGACGAAGCGCGUGCGAUAACUUUUGUAUACACUAUAGCCUAGGAAGUCAAUGAGAGAAGUACCGGUAGUUAUCCCGAAAACAACGCAAACAUGAUUUUUUUUUUUCCCCUAGGGUUUUGCUCGUAUAUUUCACAGGGUCAGUAUUUAUUCCUCGUUUAACGGUACGCGAAAUAGUUUAAGGAACAUGUCAGAUACAUAUGCAAGGACGACGAAGGGAGUGCUUCACUUGGCUUGUUGUUGUUGUUGUUGUUGUUUUUUCCUUCUUUAGUUUAAUUUUGUCACUUGUGUAAAAAGCAGUUCCGCCGAUAUGUUAGUCAUGCUGAUCGACGAGACACUGUGGUGUUCCAAAGGGGAAAAUUCGGCUGUCCGGUGAAAGUAUCCGAAGCAGCACAGCAUAUAUUGGCAACAAUAUUGGCUGCAUAUCGGCAAUACUGAUCCAGUACUGGUGCAGUAUUUGACGAGUAUUGUUUUUAUUGUAUUUAUCCAAUAUUAUGGCGAAACAUUUUCUGCAGUUGGGUGGACUAAAGGGAAAGUCUCUGCUGGGUGUCGCCGCUAUUUCCAACAGAGACUGUUCAGACCAGCAAAAGAACAGAUCCUGCUCGAAAUAUUCCCGGCUCGCAGCCUCAUGCUUCUGCUUCAAUUGUAAGUUUCAGCUGGGUACUCAAGAAAGGUAGCGUGUUCGUACUCCGCUCGUGCCGAAAGUAACUUUUUAGCGCGUGCACCGUACGAGCACGUUGUUUAGUUGCGUACGCAAGGCGACUGUGUUAGCUACAACUAAACAUGCGUAUAGUUAAAGCUCCAGAGCCCCACAGCUGGCAGAUCCCAAUCUGCUAAUGUUUUGCACAAGCGAUUCCUUCAAACUGACGUGGUAUAGUGGAACGCUGAACGAUGAGGUUCCAGACUGAUUGGUACAGUUUGACCUUUCAGGCACGUGAUCUCGCACUAAUUUCUGAUAGCUAAAAGAGAUGCUUUGAAACAUGGUUAUUGAAUAGAGAUAACGAUAACGUCGUAGGGGAAAGAGAGAACAAACCUUUAGAGGAGUGUCUGUCUCUCGGCGGAACUGACUUCUGCACAAGAACGAUCAUAUUUUUUCAUAGGCUAAUUACCGCGACCGAUUCACCUUUAUUUUUUUUAUUUUUUUUCAUCAGUGGAAUGACGUUUUGCAGUUUUCAUAGAUGCCAUACACACACGUUAUACAUAGACCAACAGAUAUAUGCAACAGUUAACGAGAGAUGAUGUCCUUCAAAGUAUUGCGCACCAUGUAAUCGUCGUUAUGCUUAUUAACGCAUUAACGAAUUAACGAGGACGUUUCUCAUGUAAUAGUGAUGUUUUCUAAUAUAUUCUUUAGUUGCAUGCGUUUGUACUUUGGCCGCUUUCUGUUCCCAAAGGCCUCUAAGAAACGCAUUUGCUUUUUUCUUCCUUCUUUUUUCUUUUUUCUUUGUUAUCUGUCUGCGUGAAGAUGUGUAAGGAUCGUCGACUAGAUUAAAUAUAAGGGCCGAAUUCCGUUGCAGAUUCCCUACACAGACAAAUUGUCGAGGCAUGAACGGUAAUUCGGUAAUUAACACUAAGCUCCUUUAUAUAUUUUUUUAUUUUCCUCACUGCUAGUUGACGUACUCUAUAGUGCUGUGCUGUUUAUUUUCUUCUUCUUUCUUUUUUUUUUUUUUAAACGUUGGCUAUCCUAACCUAAACUCUGUUUGAUACAGUACUGUUGGACACCAGCCUGCAGAUAAUGUUUUAUACUGUUUGAGAGAGGGAGAAAGCCGUUGGAACGCAGAGCAAAUUACACGAAUGAAAUGCUCCUAACGUCAGCAAGGUGUGAGCCCACACGAAUUUCGGUAACAUGUAUCAGCCAGCACAACAGGAUAUCGAGUGUAAUUGGCUUUCUCGGUCCAUUUUAUUGUUUUUCAGGUCAUUGAAGGGGCUCUGACACUUCGGUGCGUGCGGUUUUUCAUAUCGUAGAAGUUUUGUACUGCAUGUCAGAAGAUCGAGGAAAGACUAAUUAUUUAUUCUAAGUGUCGUACCUGGCGACAUACAAAACCUCGAAGACCCGUACACGUCCAACUGUCACGUCAGAGGAGAAAGAGCUACCGCCUUUCCCAUUUGUACUCGUAAGCACGUCAUCUCUCCCGCGGUGUCUCAGUGGUGGAGACGCCUCAUGUGGUUAAGGGCCCGAUGACUUUCGGUCAUGGAUGAAGGAAUAAGAGGAGAGAGAGAGUGAAGCGGUCAAACUGGACACGGACGCACAGAAACGACGGGAGACAGGUGCUGCUUCCAACAACUUGAUUACAAACAACUUUCACAAGUAUACACAGAUGUAUCGUCAGGACAAAAAAAAAGUGAUCAUAUGGAAUGAAUGUUAUGAAAUAAGCGGAGGAACUUCGAGAGGAGAAAAGAGCGUGGGAAAAGUGACGUAUGAAUAUUAAUAUCAAUUUCAUCCCCGCACAGUGGAUGUGUUUUGGCUUUGUUCCAGCCCUGCAAAAGUUACGCCUGAGACCCAAGCAGCACAAUGUACUGAAAGUAGAGUGCACUAGAGGUGGGCGGUAUGUGUCUUAUCAAUGUUCUUUAGUUUCACGCGUCUGUUCAAGGCCUUCCACCUACCCGCCCACCUCUAUUGCACUUGACUUUCAGUACAUUGUGCUGCUUCGGGAAAACCUCAACGAGAGAGCUAGCUGAGAGAGUCAGAAAGCCGUUACGCUGAGAAAGCCCACGAGUCUCCUCUGCAGCUUGCACGCGGUACUUUGACAUGCUAGGAUCGCACCUACAUAGACAUUCCGAAAAGAUGCUAUACCAGCAACCAGAGGCAACUCAGAAUAAACGACCAUUCUGAAUGAUAUUGUCAUCUUUCCUGACUUGUUGAAAAUAGGAACGUGUACGUGUUUUUGCAGAAAUACUGAUACGUGUGUAUUAGUUUAGAUAAAGGAACCAGUACACUUCCGCUUUUAAUCGGAAUCAGCUCAUCCUGCUCCGCCCUCACUGCAAGCCUCCGAGUCUCCACCAGGGAGGCAACGCGGGAGAAGACACGUGCUUGCGAGAACCAAUGGGAGUGGCCGCUGGCAUUUCGUACCGCGCGUGUUAUGCGGUGCAGUUCUGUGCAGAGAGUAUUGUAACCAAGUGUCGUAACCCCUUUAAGAUCAUCAUCACGUGGUAUCGCUAUAUUUGUGAAUUUUGGAGCAGACUAAAACAAACCGUUGCUUUUUGUGCACAAGCGAGAAUUUCUGUGAAUUUCAUUUUUCUCUCGUUUGUCUCUAUUUUGAUGUAACCUGGAGCCGUGUAAAAUAAGAAACUGUGACUGCACCGCACACGUACAUUGUUGCCACAUGGAAUGAAGAAGAUGUUUAUGCAUGUGUGGGUUUGACUUUGUCGUGACUCUUAAGCUCCUUAAGUUUGUACUGCAAAAAAUGCGCCGUUGUUGAAUGUGAAUAAACAGGUGCUCGCGCUGAA
Ornithodoros turicata is the source of this 4595-nucleotide long non-coding RNA. RefSeq lists it as uncharacterized. The transcript is spliced from 2 exons. Lineage: Eukaryota; Metazoa; Arthropoda; Arachnida; Ixodida; Argasidae. The record is from RefSeq and is a predicted model, not a curated record.